Molecule: long non-coding RNA, 204 nt
Filed under: Elaeis guineensis (African oil palm)
Lineage: Eukaryota; Viridiplantae; Streptophyta; Magnoliopsida; Arecales; Arecaceae
Description: long non-coding RNA (EGUI_LNC016552)
Source: RNAcentral
UCGUGAAAUAAUUGAUCACCCUCUGGUCAUUAUCUUGGACUAACUUGAGUUGAACUCAACCAUGAUGUGCUCAGGUCAUUCUGGAGACAGGUUGUUCUUGGGUCAGGCCCGAUUCUGGCCCACCAAUUUUAGAGAGACCUGGGUCCUAGUUAUUACCCGCCAUCAACGAAAACAGAGGGACCCCUCAAAGUUGAUUUGCCCACU